Molecule: ribosomal RNA, 1972 nt
Filed under: human gut metagenome
Description: bacterial LSU rRNA
Rfam family: Bacterial large subunit ribosomal RNA
Source: RNAcentral
GAAAGUAAAAAAGGGCGCAUGGCGGAUGCCUUGGCUCUCGGAGGCGAUGAAGGACGUGAUAAGCUGCGAUAAGCUUUGGGGAGGUGCAAAUGACCUUUGAUCCAGAGAUUUCCGAAUGGGACAACCCAAUAUCUUGAAGAGGUAUUAUCCAACGUUGUUGGAGGCUAACGCAGGGAACUGAAACAUCUUAGUACCUGCAGGAAAAGAAAAUAAACAAUGAUUCCCUCAGUAGUGGCGAGCGAACGGGGAACAGCCCAAACCAUCCAUGUUACGGCAUGGGUGGGGUUGUAGGACUACGCCGUUGCAUGAAGACAUCAGAGAAGAACUUUCUGGAAAGAAAGACCAUAGAGCAUGACAGUUGCGUAUUCGAAUGUUGUCGAAGCAUAGUAGUAUCCUGAGUAGCGCGGAGCACGAGGAAUUCUGCGUGAAUCUGCCGGGACCAUCCGGUAAGGCUAAAUACUCCCGAGAGACCGAUAGCGAACCAGUACCGUGAGGGAAAGGUGAAAAGCACUUCGAACAGAAGAGUGAAAUAGUUCCUGAAACCGUGCGCCUACAAGCGGUCGGAGCUCGUUAAUGAGUGACGGCGUGCCUUUUGCAUAAUGAACCUACGAGUUGCCUUUGCCGGCAAGGUUAAGUGUGACGACACACGUAUCCGAAGCGAAAGCGAGUCUGAACAGGGCGUAUAGUCGGCAGUGGCAGACGCGAAACCAAGUGAUCUACCCUUGGCCAGGUUGAAGGCUGGGUAACACCAGCUGGAGGACCGCACCAAUAAGCGUUGAAAAGCUUCUGGAUGAGCUGAGGGUAGGGGUGAAAGGCUAAUCAAACUUGGAGAUAGCUCGUACUCCCCGAAAUGCAUUUAGGUGCAGCCUUGCGGGUUACUGAUGUGAGGUAGAGCGACUGAUAAGAUGCGAGGGCUUCACCGCCUAUCAAGUCUUGACAAACUCCGAAUGCGCAUCAGUUCUACCGCAGGAGUGAGGGCAUGGGUGCUAAGGUCCGUGCCCGAGAGGAGAAGAAUCCGGACCACCUGCUAAGGUCCCGAAAUGACAGCUAAGUUAAACUAACGAAGUCUGACUGCUAAGACAGCUAGGAUGUUGGCUUGGAAGCAGCCAUUCAUUUAAAGAGUGCGUAACAGCUCACUAGUCGAGGAGUCGGGCGUGGAUAAUAAUCGGGUAUGAAGUUGUCUACCGAAGCAGUGGGAUCAUUUAUAUGAUCGGUAGGGGAGCAUUCCAGUCGGCGUCGAAGGCGUACCGUGAGGUAUUCUGGAGCGUCUGGAAAAGCAAAUGUAGGUAUAAGUAACGAUAAAGGGGGCGGGAAACCCCCUCGCCGAAAGACUAAGGUUUCCUGAUCAACGCUAAUCGGAUCAGGGUCAGUCGGGUCCUAAGGCUCAGCCGAACGGCGAUGCCGAUGGCAGAAACGGUUAAUAUUCCGUUACUACCUUCAGGAGUGACGUGGAGACGCAGUAGUGACAGUGCCGCCAUCUGACGGAAUAGAUGGUUGAAGGGUGUAGGAGUCGAUCAUGGCAGGCAAAUCCACCAUGAGAUCCGAACCUGACAGUAUGCCGCGUCCUUCGGGACAAGGCAAUAGUGCGCGUAAGCAUGCUGCCGAGAAAAUCCGCUAAACUUAAUCCUGCAGGUACCCGUACCGCAAACGGACACACGUAGUCGGGAUGAAUAUUCUAAGGCGCUUGAGUGAUUCACGGUUAAGGAACUAGGCAAACUGACCCUGUAACUUCGGGAUAAAGGGUCCCUACCCUUUUAUGGGAGGGCGCAGAGAAUCGGUCCAGGCAACUGUUUAACAAAAACACAGGGCUGUGCCAAAUCGAAAGAUCCAGUAUACAGCCUGACACCUGCCCGGUGCUGGAAGGUUAAGAGGAGAUGUCAUCGAUAAGAGAAGCGUUGAAUUGAAGCCCCAGUAAACGGCGGCCGUAACUAUAACGGUCCUAAGGUAGCGAAAUUCCUUGUCGGGUAAGUUC